RNAcentral lists this ribosomal RNA (264 nucleotides) under uncultured bacterium. RNAcentral describes it as "partial 16S ribosomal RNA". It matches the Rfam family "Bacterial small subunit ribosomal RNA", at positions 355 to 611 of the family's 1533-position model. The record is from RNAcentral.
UAGGGAAUCUUCGGCAAUGGACGAAAGUCUGACCGAGCAACGCCGCGUGAGUGAAGAAGGUUUUCGGAUCGUAAAACUCUGUUGUCAGAGAAGAACAGGGAUAAGAGUAACUGUUUAUCCCGUGACGGUAUCUGACCAGAAAGCCACGGCUAACUACGUGCCAGCAGCCGCGGUAAUACGUAGGUGGCAAGCGUUGUCCGGAUUUAUUGGGCGUAAAGCGAGCGCAGGCGGUCUUUUAAGUCUGAUGUGAAAGCCCCCGGCUUA